Eptesicus fuscus (big brown bat) is the source of this 102-nucleotide small nuclear RNA. NCBI's taxonomy places the organism in Eukaryota, Metazoa, Chordata, Mammalia, Chiroptera, Vespertilionidae. The record is from RefSeq and is a predicted model, not a curated record.
GCAUACUAGCUCUUUAUUAUAUAAGACUGAACGACACAGAGAAGGUUAGCAUGGCCCCUACGCAAGGAUGACGUGCAAUUUCAUGAAGCAAAUUCCAUAUUU